CUUCGAAAGAGCAAAACAAUAGAGGUUUUUUGCGUCCUUCAUUCUGUGGGAUCGUAUUGUUUUCAAAAGAAUAGAACGACAGCCAUUGAAUCAUUAGAAGCAGUUUUUCAAGGCUCACUGUAGUCGGCCAAGGUCCACUCGGGCUGAUUCUGGAGGAGGUCCUCGACUUGUGAGAUAGGGUACAGUUCAUCACACACCUGUCAGACAAGCCACACAGUAUAAAUGAAUACAGCAAGAAUACUAAAAGAAAAGAUGGAGACUAGGUAACGCGUAGACGAUUCAAAGGGGUUACUGUACCACAAACACAGGUCUUGACGCAGUCGAGCUUCAUGUAUGUUACUGAACAUGGAUGGCCGUUUUGGACUCGCCACUUGCAUGUAGAUGUUCCCACUUUGUCGAA
Long non-coding RNA from Pocillopora verrucosa, 400 nucleotides. RefSeq lists it as uncharacterized. Lineage: Eukaryota; Metazoa; Cnidaria; Anthozoa; Scleractinia; Pocilloporidae. The record is from RefSeq and is a predicted model, not a curated record.